RNAcentral lists this ribosomal RNA (497 nucleotides) under uncultured bacterium. Its description in RNAcentral is "partial 16S ribosomal RNA". It matches the Rfam family "Bacterial small subunit ribosomal RNA", at positions 28 to 507 of the family's 1533-position model. The record is from RNAcentral.
GAUGAACGCUGGCGGCGUGCCUAAUACAUGCAAGUCGAGCGAACGGACGAGAAGCUUGCUUCUCUGAUGUUAGCGGCGGACGGGUGAGUAACACGUGGAUAACCUACCUAUAAGACUGGGAUAACUUCGGGAAACCGGAGCUAAUACCGGAUAAUAUUUUGAACCGCAUGGUUCAAAAGUGAAAGACGUUCUUGCUGUCACUUAUAGAUGGAUCCGCGCUGCAUUAGCUAGUUGGUAAGGUAACGGCUUACCAAGGCAACGAUGCAUAGCCGACCUGAGAGGGUGAUCGGCCACACUGGAACUGAGACACGGUCCAGACUCCUACGGGAGGCAGCAGUGGGGAAUCUUCCGCAAUGGGCGAAAGCCUGACGGAGCAACGCCGCGUGAGUGAUGAAGGUCUUCGGAUCGUAAAGCUCUGUUAGUAGGGAAGAACAUAUGUGUAAGUAACUGUGCACAUCUUGACGUUACCUAAUCAGAAAGCCACGGCUAACUACGUG